CUUUAGCUUGAAUUGUGUGUUCAUCAGUAAAUCACUGAGGUGUUUCACUCCAGAGUCUCUGAGUUCAUUCCCGCUCAGGUUCAGUUCUCUCAGGUGUGAUGGGUUUGAUUUCAGAGCUGAAGUCA
Puntigrus tetrazona (Sumatra barb) is the source of this 125-nucleotide long non-coding RNA. RefSeq lists it as uncharacterized. The record is from RefSeq and is a predicted model, not a curated record. The transcript is spliced from 2 exons. NCBI's taxonomy places the organism in Eukaryota, Metazoa, Chordata, Actinopteri, Cypriniformes, Cyprinidae.